RNAcentral lists this ribosomal RNA (450 nucleotides) under uncultured bacterium. RNAcentral's name for it is "bacterial SSU rRNA". It matches the Rfam family "Bacterial small subunit ribosomal RNA", at positions 354 to 796 of the family's 1533-position model. The record is from RNAcentral.
GUGGGGAAUAUUGGACAAUGGGCGAAAGCCUGAUCCAGCCAUGCCGCGUGUGUGAAGAAGGUCUUCGGAUUGUAAAGCACUUUAAGUUGGGAGGAAGGGCAGUAAGUUAAUACCUUGCUGUUUUGACGUUACCGACAGAAUAAGCACCGGCUAACUUCGUGCCAGCAGCCGCGGUAAUACGAAGGGUGCAAGCGUUAAUCGGAAUUACUGGGCGUAAUGCGCGCGUAGGUGGUUCAGCAAGUUGGAGGUGAAAGCCCCGGGCUCAACCUGGGAACUGCCUCCAAAACUACUGAGCUAGAGUACGGUAGAGGGUAGUGGAAUUUCCUGUGUAGCGGUGAAAUGCGGAGAUAUAGGAAGGAACACCAGUGGCGAAGGCGACUACCUGGACUGAUACUGACACUGAGGUGCGAAAGCGUGGGGAGCAAACAGGAUUAGAAACCCGGGUAGUCC